Molecule: ribosomal RNA, 253 nt
Filed under: uncultured bacterium
Lineage: Bacteria
Description: partial 16S ribosomal RNA
Rfam family: Bacterial small subunit ribosomal RNA
Source: RNAcentral
UACGGGGGGGGCAAGCGUUGUUCGGAAUUACUGGGCGUAAAGGGUUCGUAGGUGGCCAACUAAGUCAGACGUGAAAUCCCUCAGCUUAACUGGGGAACUGCGUCUGAUACUGGAUGGCUUGAGUGCAGGAGAGGAACGCGGAAUUCCAGGUGUAGCGGUGAAAUGCGUAGAUAUCUGGAGGAACACCGGUGGCGAAGGCGGCGUUCUGGACUGUAACUGACACUGAGGAACGAAAGCCAGGGGAGCAAACGGG